RNAcentral lists this ribosomal RNA (724 nucleotides) under uncultured soil bacterium. Its description in RNAcentral is "bacterial SSU rRNA". It matches the Rfam family "Bacterial small subunit ribosomal RNA", at positions 674 to 1397 of the family's 1533-position model. The record is from RNAcentral.
UGUAGCGGUGAAAUGCGUAGAUAUCAGGAGGAACACCCGGUGGUGUAAACGGCUUUCUGGACCAUAACUGACGCUGAGGCACGAAAGCGUGGGUAGCAAACAGGAUUAGAUACCCUGGUAGUCCACGCCCUAAACGAUGCAUAUUUGGUGUGGGCCAUUCAUUUGGUCUGUGCCGGAGCUAACGCGUUAAAUAUGCCGCCUGGGGAGUACAGUCGCAAGGCUGAAACUCAAAGGAAUUGACGGGGGCCCGCACAAGCGGUGGAGCAUGUGGUUUAAUUCGACGCAACGCGAAGAACCUUACCUGGGCUCGAAAUGCUAUGGACCAGCUGGUGAAAGCCGGCCUUCCCGCAAGGGACCGUAGUAUAGGUGCUGCAUGGCUGUCGUCAGCUCGUGUCGUGAGAUGUUGGGUUAAGUCCCGCAACGAGCGCAACCCUUGUCCUGUGUUGCCAUCAUUCAGUUGGGAACUCGCAGGAGACCGCCAGGGAUAACCUGGAGGAAGGUGGGGAUGACGUCAAGUCCUCAUGGCCUUUAUGUCCAGGGCUACACACGUGCUACAAUGGACGGUACAAAGGGCUGCCAACCCGCAAGGGGGAGCCAAUCCCAAAAAACCGUUCUCAGUUCGGAUUGCAGGCUGCAACUCGCCUGCAUGAAGCUGGAAUCGCUAGUAAUGGUGGAUCAGAACGCCACCGUGAAUACGUUCCCGGGCCUUGUACACACCGCCCGU